This 316-nucleotide ribosomal RNA is filed under the name uncultured eukaryote. Its description in RNAcentral is "partial 18S ribosomal RNA". It matches the Rfam family "Eukaryotic small subunit ribosomal RNA", at positions 1470 to 1796 of the family's 1831-position model. The record is from RNAcentral.
CCCUUAGAUGUUCUGGGCCGCACGCGUGCUACACUGACCGGCGCAACAAGUUUCUUUCCUUGGCUCGAUAGGCCUGGGUAAUCUUUGAACGCCGGUCGUGAUGGGGAUAGAUCCUUGCAAUUUUUGAUCUUCAACGAGGAAUUCCUAGUAAAUGCGAGUCAUCAUCUCGCGUUGAUUACGUCCCUGCCCUUUGUACACACCGCCCGUCGCACCUACCGAUUGAAUGGUCCGGUGAAGCCUCGGGAUUGCGAAUGCUUCGUGCGGACGCGAGAACUUGGCUAAACCAUAUCAUUUAGAGGAAGGUGAAGUCGUAACA